UAGGGAAUCUUCGGCAAUGGACGAAAGUCUGACCGAGCAACGCCGCGUGAGUGAAGAAGGUUUUCGGAUCGUAAAACUCUGUUGUUAGAGAAGAACAAGGACGUUAGUAACUGAACGUCCCCUGACGGUAUCUAACCAGAAAGCCACGGCUAACUACGUGCCAACAGCCGCGGUAAUACGUAGGUGGCAAGCGUUGUUCGGAUUUAUUGGGCGUAAAGCGAGCGCAGGAGGUUUCUUAAGUCUGAUGUGAAAGCCCCCGGCUCAACCGGGGAGGGACAUUAGAAGCUAGGAGACUUGAAUGCAGAAGAGGGGAGUGGAAUUCCAUGUGUAGCAGUGAAUUGCGAAGAUAUAUGGAGCAACACCAGUGGCGGAGGCGGCUCUCUGGUAUGUAACUGACGCUGAGGCUGGAACGCGUGGGGAGCAAACAGU
Molecule: ribosomal RNA, 429 nt
Filed under: Gemmatimonadota bacterium
Lineage: Bacteria; Pseudomonadati; Gemmatimonadota
Description: Gemmatimonadetes bacterium partial 16S ribosomal RNA
Rfam family: Bacterial small subunit ribosomal RNA
Source: RNAcentral